GAAGGCUAAUUUUACC
Molecule: transfer RNA, 16 nt
Filed under: Cheilolejeunea comitans
Lineage: Eukaryota; Viridiplantae; Streptophyta; Jungermanniopsida; Porellales; Lejeuneaceae
Description: partial tRNA-Gly
Source: RNAcentral